Molecule: unclassified non-coding RNA, 334 nt
Filed under: soil metagenome
Description: partial contains 5.8S ribosomal RNA, internal transcribed spacer 2, and large subunit ribosomal RNA
Rfam family: 5.8S ribosomal RNA (bases 1-120)
Source: RNAcentral
GAUGAAGAACGUAGCGAAAUGCGAUAAGUAAUGUGAAUUGCAGAAUUCAGUGAAUCAUCGAAUCUUUGAACGCACAUUGCGCCCCCCAGUAUUCUGGCGGGCAUGCCUGUUCGAGCGUCAUUUCAACCAUCAAGCCCUGCUUGCGUUGGGGUCCUGCGGCUGCCCGCAGGCCCUGAAAACCAGUGGCGGGCUCGCUAGUCACACCGAGCGCAGUAAUACAUCUCGCUUUGGGCGUGCGGCGGGUUCUUGCCGUUAAACACCCCCUUUUUACCAAGGUUGACCUCGGAUCAGGUAGGAAUACCCGCUGAACUUAAGCAUAUCAAUAAGCGGAGGA